This 77-nucleotide transfer RNA is filed under the name Mesorhizobium amorphae. RNAcentral's name for it is "tRNA-Pro". It matches the Rfam family "tRNA". Rfam says of the family: Transfer RNA (tRNA) molecules are approximately 80 nucleotides in length. The record is from RNAcentral. Lineage: Bacteria; Pseudomonadati; Pseudomonadota; Alphaproteobacteria; Hyphomicrobiales; Phyllobacteriaceae.
CGGACCGUGGCGCAGCCUGGUAGCGCGUCCGCCUGGGGGGCGGAAGGUCGCGGGUUCGAACCCCGCCGGUCCGACCA